AACGAACGCUGGCGGCGUGCUUAACACAUGCAAGUCGAGCGGUAAGGCCCUUUCGGGGGUACGACGAGCGGCGAACGGGUGAGUAACACGUGGGUGACCUGCCCUCAGCUCUGGGAUAAGCCUGGGAAACCGGGUCUAAUACUGGAUAUGACUCCAUGACGCAUGUUGUGGGGUGGAAAGCCUUGUGCGGCUGAGGAUGGGCCCGCGGCCUAUCAGCUUGUUGGUGGGGUGAGGCCUACCAAGGCGACGACGGGUAGCCGGCCCGAGAGGGCGACCGGCCACACUGGGACUGAGACACGGCCCAGACUCCUACGGGAGGCAGCAGUGGGGAAUCUUGCGCAAUGGGGCGAAAGCCUGACGCAGCGACGCCGCGUGAGGGAUGACGGCC
Molecule: ribosomal RNA, 388 nt
Filed under: uncultured bacterium
Lineage: Bacteria
Description: bacterial SSU rRNA
Rfam family: Bacterial small subunit ribosomal RNA
Source: RNAcentral